GACGAAGGAUGCAAGCGUUAUCCGGAUUCAUUGGGUUUAAAGGGAGCGUAGGUGGCCUUGUAAGUCAGUGGUGAAAUCUGACAGCUUAACUGUUAAAUUGCCAUUGAUACUGCAAGGCUUGAGUACAGAUGCCGUUUGCGGAAUAUGACAUGUAGUGGUGAAAUACAUAGAUAUGACAUAGAACACCCAUUGCGAAGGCAGCUCGCUACACUAUUAUUGACACUGAGGCACGAAAGCGUGGGGAUCAAACAGG
This 253-nucleotide ribosomal RNA is filed under the name uncultured bacterium. RNAcentral's name for it is "partial 16S ribosomal RNA". It matches the Rfam family "Bacterial small subunit ribosomal RNA", at positions 524 to 776 of the family's 1533-position model. The record is from RNAcentral.